This 654-nucleotide long non-coding RNA is filed under the name Coffea arabica (coffee). RNAcentral describes it as "long non-coding RNA (CARA_LNC002734)". Lineage: Eukaryota; Viridiplantae; Streptophyta; Magnoliopsida; Gentianales; Rubiaceae. The record is from RNAcentral.
GGGAAAGAAAGAACGAUCAUUUGGGUAAAAUCUAACAGUAGUAUUUUUCACAACUGUUAUUAAAUCCAAACUUGUGCUCACGAAAUUCAAAAAGUUGAUGGGAAGAUCUUGCUUUGGUUAACCAGCUAAUGAUUGGUACCGACAGUCUGUGGUCAAUUUGCACGGGGAGAUAAGAUGAUUUAUUAUCUUAUCCACAAAGCUAUAGUGUCUCGUUACACUUUUAGUUUUGCUUCAUAGGAAACCAAUUAAAGCAGAAAAGGACAAAACCGACUACCUCCUCAAGACGUUGCUUCCAAAAGUAAAACAGCAUUUUGGUUUGUGUUUCUCAAGUGUGAAUUUUUUUUUAAGAAUGGACAAAAGUGAAAAAAAACUCAUCUAAUGUGAGAUUGGUGGGAUUUAUCAGCCCUUGUCCCAUGGUAUAUCUUGGACUAAUUUCAAUUUGUGCUCCAAACUGAGGCUCUAUUUUCACUUUGCACUUAGAUUUCAAUUUUAGUCACUUUACAUUCUAAACUCUCUCGUAUUUGUAUCUUUUUAAGUCCAAUUGAUAAUGACUUUAGCAACAUCGAAGGAACGAAGGGCUGUACAAAUGAUUCACCUUUUUGCAUGACUAAUAGGGAUUGUGAGAUGAUGAUAUUAUACUGCUAUCCAGUAAAG